Molecule: non-coding RNA, 648 nt
Organism: Callorhinus ursinus (northern fur seal)
Lineage: Eukaryota; Metazoa; Chordata; Mammalia; Carnivora; Otariidae
Source: RefSeq, a predicted model, not a curated record
AGAACUGGGCCGGGUCCCCGCCCCUUUCUAGGGCUCCUUCCAAUGACGGCUUGGGGGCAGGCUCGGGGCACACUUCCGUCCCGCCUUCCGGUGAGGGACGAUCCCGGGGCUGAGUAGAUUUCCGGCCGGGCUCGGCCGAGGGGUUUCCGCGGGUCUGUGUCCCUGGUCCUGCCGGCCGCUCGGGGAAGACUUCUCCCGCGGCGCGCGGAGGCCGCGCGGAGUCGGAUGUGCAAAUGCGAGCGUGAGGAAACCGCUUGGAAUGCUCGCCCCACCUCCACGCACAGAAAACCCCGGAGCGCCCUCGGCCGCGGAGCUCGGGGAGGAAAGAAUCCACCAGCAGCAGCCGAUGCACGGGUGGAAGGAACCACAGACUCUCCAGCGUGUGAGGACUUGGCAGUCCCUGACCUGCCUCUCUGGCAGGAACUGGGGCAUCUUCUGUCACCAAAGAAGAUGCUAUGCAGUGAGGCCGGGAUGAUGCUUCGGAAUUUUUCAUGCCUUGAGAUGAAAUUAACUUCAGAUUUCUUGUGUCCUUUUGUUCUCAUUCCGUGCUCACCAAGCAAUCUUCUGGUGGUUUGUUUAAUUUUCCGGGAAGGAGACUCUAAAGAACAGAUAUGUAUUGUAAAUUAAUAAAUUGGUGUAUUUACAUCA